UGCGAGUUCGUCUAACGGUAGGACACGACCCCCUGGAGGUCGGUAUCCUGGUUCGAAUCCAGGACUCGCAGCCA
Molecule: transfer RNA, 74 nt
Filed under: Candidatus Wolfebacteria bacterium
Lineage: Bacteria; Candidatus Wolfeibacteriota
Description: tRNA-Gln
Rfam family: tRNA
About the family: Transfer RNA (tRNA) molecules are approximately 80 nucleotides in length. Their secondary structure includes four short double-helical elements and three loops (D, anti-codon, and T loops).
Source: RNAcentral